UAAUGGAUAAAUAAUGAAGGGAAUCCAUUCACAUUCGGAUUCUUCUCAUUCAUUUUAUUUACAAAUCCAAAUCUGGAUUACAUUUACCUUCCAGUUAUGGCAAGUGAUAUUGGUUUUCAUCCAAGGAAGUGAGAACAAUUUUUAACAGUUGAGUACUGUGACUGCUCUCAGAAGUUACUGAGAUGUUAACAGCUGCAAUUUAGCCGUGGCAACAGUGUCAUCAAAUGAAAAGGUGAUGAGAAAGAAGAAACAUGUUUUUAGUUAAAUUGUGUCCAAGUACCACA
Long non-coding RNA from Suricata suricatta (meerkat), 284 nucleotides. RefSeq lists it as uncharacterized. Lineage: Eukaryota; Metazoa; Chordata; Mammalia; Carnivora; Herpestidae. The transcript has 3 exons. The record is from RefSeq and is a predicted model, not a curated record.